UGAAGAGCAAAUGGGCAUCGACCAAGAUGGAGCUGUCACAGUGCACCAAGAUCUGACAACACAUGCCACUGCCUUUGUUAUCAAUGCCCGAUCCAAGCAUCGUCUGUCACAGAAAGGCAUGAAUGACAUUGUUGCUGGGGUACAGCAGUAUCAAUCAUCACUAUUGGACAACCUCAGGACGCAGAUGAAGGAAGUUCUAAAGAAGAAUUCAGGAAGUACAACCAAUCAACUUGGAAAAGAUGCAAUGGAUAUAUUUGACAGUUUCAUUGACCCCUUUGCUAACGUUUCAACAACAUUUCGCCAGAACAGUGUUAUUAGGAAGCAGUUUUGUUGUGUGGAUGCAGAGGAAAUUCCAAUUGCUCGAACCAUAUGCAGGAAGAAACGUGGAGGAUCAACAGAUUUUGUCAUCAAAGACAAAUUAUUUUAUUAUGUACCAUUAGUCAAAAGUGUAGAGCAGUUCCUAUUACAUCCGAGGAUUUUGACUAUGAUUGAAGAGGUACCCCAGAGGUGCAGUGAAGGUUUUCUUCAUGACCUUGUUGAUGGUUCUCUUUUAAAAUCUCAUCCCUUAUUUUCAGAGAAACCAAAUGCAC
Long non-coding RNA from Gymnodraco acuticeps, 590 nucleotides. RefSeq lists it as uncharacterized. The transcript has 3 exons. The record is from RefSeq and is a predicted model, not a curated record. Lineage: Eukaryota; Metazoa; Chordata; Actinopteri; Perciformes; Bathydraconidae.